AAUCCUCUCUCCACCCACUACUAACUAAACUUUUAAACUAGGAGGAGGCGAACAGCUUAAAGCUUUCCUCAGUGCAACGGAAAAGUGAAUCCAGGGUGCGGUGAGUUGCCAAGAGCCAGCUGCCUGCUCUAGACAAUUACAGGAGUUUUGUGGAUAUGCUACUCAGAGUUCAGCAAAAUGGACUAUUGCUCAGUGCAGAAACUUGUUUCAGGCUGACAGGCAAAUAAGCCAUAUCACAUAAAGGGCCUCUAUGUGGCAUCUCUGAGCUGUAAGCUCCGGACAGCCUUGGGGGAAAAAAGUGCAGUGGAGCAAGACAAAAAUUACCACAAACUUCAGGCAACUGUUGCUUUCUUUCUGAUGGAUUUCUGGGACUUCUACAUGCCAAGCCAUAACUCUACAGAGAAUAUUGGUAUAAGGAUCUCAGAUUGACAAUCUCAAAAAACUGUUUACCCUGGAUGGACAGAGAGAGAGAGAAACAGUGACAAUCUAAUAUUGCUUAAUAUUAGCUCUGGGAUUGAAGUUAGAAGAUUUAUUUUCUAUGACUGGAAGCUGCUUUGGUCAGGCUCCCAACCAUCUCAGAGCCAAACAUUCCAAAACAAUUGUUUUCCAUUCCUGCCUGCCAUCCCCAAAGUAUUUGGAGGGAGGACAUGGACAAAGAGUAAAUGUAUUUAGUUUUCCUUAGCCAAUUCACAAACCACAAAUAUUCUCCCCAGCCAAAAUCUGGAAGAUAUUUUCAAAGACACAAGGAUUCCGAAGGGCACUGAAAAUUCUAAGAGCUGCUGACCAGGCAGUGCUUCCUAUCUAAAGCCAAACAGAUGUCAAGAAGAGAAGAGAAGAGAAGAGAAGAGAAGAGAAGAGAAGAGUUUAAUCAGAUUUGUCCUGCUAGAGGAUACUAUUUGCCAGGAGUAAGCUGCAUUGUAUAGUAUAAAAGUUUGUGAACUGACAUGGGUUCACUUUGGGGAAAUCAUCAAACCCUGGAGGUGACCUAAUUCCAAUUUAUUUCUACAAAGCAAUUCAGGAGGCUUCAAAUUCCUUCAGACCAUUGCUUUCACAUUUCUCUGUAGGACAAGCACAAAUGCUUUAACACUGGAUAUAUUUCAGAUUGCUUGCAGUCUUCCCAAGCCUGGAAGAACUUCAACAUACACAAAGUACCUCCAAGGGUGGGAACUUUAAUUGAACACUGUAGUUAUCCUGUUUGGCCCUAUCGUAUCUUUGGAAAGGAAAGGAUCACCAAGGCACUACUUUCUUCUGUCCUUUAAUUAGUAAUUGGGAACAACAUAAAAGGAUUAUUUUGCUCUUCUGUAUUUUCAGGUUAAUUCAGUUUUGCAAAUAGAAUUCUUUGUUGGCAACUUUUUCUUCAAGCAACAUAUAUAAUUUGUACUUGGAAUUCACCUGAUGAACAACAGAAUCAAAUUAACUACUUACCAGGAAACAGAAGCCAAAAAGAGCAAUCCAAUCAUCCAGAACACUUCCCAGUACAAACCAUGGAGCAGCUUAUGAAUUGUUGGUAUUAUGUAUGUGGGAUAAACUUAGAAAAUUAAAAAAAUUAAAUUUGAGUUUGUGGAUAGUUAGCAUAUAAUACAAUAUUAUUAACAGAUUUAGUAGGCUUAACAUGCAAAAAUGAAUCAGAGGUGGUAUAGAAAGAUCCAAGAAUUAAAAAAAAACAAAGUAGAAACAUAUUUCCAAAAUCUCAGAGUGGAAAAGAUACAAGUGGAUUUCAGAAAUACCUAUGAUAGCUAAGGAAAAGCUUUUAUUGUGGAAAUCAGGCCAGAUUGUGGAUUAUAUUAAGAAUAAUGGGGUGCCAAGAAAGGAAUCUUCACAAAAACAAGAAGCUACUAUAAAAACUAAACCUGGAAAACCACGUGGGGAAGGAUGGGAAUUAAGGAUGAAUAUUGUUUUCCUAUAUACAGCAAAUCUAGCAAAUUUUAAACAUGAUUCAUCCCUGAAAGACAACAUGAAGAAAGGAUGCAGAAUCUGGCAGAUCUGAAUCCAAGGAAUUCAAGGCAGACCUGAAUCCAUGGUUAUAGCAUUAGUGGCAACAUGUAACUCUGUUUCUGCCCUUGCUCCUGUAAAUCUCAACAGUGAUAUUAUGUCCAUAAGGUCGUCACCAUCUUUACAUCAAACACUAAAGGGCAAAGGUGCAGACUGAGAGUUUCUAGAAUAAAAGCCUCUACCUGAGAUCAGUCAAGCUUUGGAACAUCUUCCAUGGACCAGGACCAUUUGUAAAUCUAUGUCUAUAUCAGUUUCAAAUUUUGUCUUCUUUCUCAGAAAGCUCAACUAUUUACCUGGUCCUGACAAUCCUUUUUGCUCUACUUAUUGAAAAUCAUUGCUUUUAACAGAGGUUCUCAACCUGUGGGUUGGGACCCCAUUUGGGGUCGAAUGACCAUUUCACGGGGGUCACCAAACAACGCAGUCCGCCAUUUUUUUCC
Molecule: long non-coding RNA, 2429 nt
Organism: Crotalus tigris (Tiger rattlesnake)
Lineage: Eukaryota; Metazoa; Chordata; Lepidosauria; Squamata; Viperidae
Exons: 6
Source: RefSeq, a predicted model, not a curated record